UGGAUCCAGACUUUGAUUCUGGCUCAGGACGAACGCUGGCGGCGCGCCUAACACAUGCAAGUCGAACGGAGGUAUAUUUCGGAAGCUUUCGGGCGGAAGGGGUAUACUUUAGUGGCGAACGGGUGAGUAACACGUGAGGAACCUGCCCUCAAGAGGGGGAUAACACUUAGAAAUAGGUGCUAAUACCGCAUAAGACCACACUGCCGCAUGGCAGAGGGGUCAAAGGAGCAAUCCGCUUGGGGAUGGACUCGCGACCGAUUAGAUAGUAGGCGGGGUAACGGCCCACCUAGUCGACGAUCGGUAGCCGAGCUGAGAGGCUGAUCGGCCACAUUGGGACUGAGACACGGCCCAGACUCCUACGGGAGGCAGCAGUGGGGAAUAUUGCACAAUGGGGGAAACCCUGAUGCAGCGACGCCGCGUGAGCGAAGAAGGUUUUCGGAUUGUAAAGCUCUGUCUUAGGGGACGAAAGAUGACGGUACCCUGAGAGAAGUCACGGCUAACUACGUGCCAGCAGCCGCGGUAAAACGUAGGUGGCAAGCGUUGUCCGGAAUUACUGGGUGUAAAGGGAGCGCAGGUGGGUGUGCAAGUUGGGAGUGAAACUCAUGGGCUCAACCCAUGACCUGCUUUCAAAACUGUGCAUCUUGAGUGGAGUAGAGGCAGGCGGAAUUCCCGGUGUAGCGGUGGAAUGCGUAGAUAUCGGGAGGAACACCAGUGGCGAAGGCGGCCUGCUGGGCUCUAACUGACACUGAGGCUCGAAAGCGUGGGUAGCAAACAGGAUUAGAUACCCUGGUAGUCCACGCCGUAAACGAUGAUUACUAGGUGUGGGGGGACUGACCCCCUCCGUGCCGGAGUAAACACAAUAAGUAAUCCACCUGGGGAGUACGACCGCAAGGUUGCAACUCAAAUGAAUUGACGGA
RNAcentral lists this ribosomal RNA (917 nucleotides) under uncultured Bacillota bacterium. Its description in RNAcentral is "bacterial SSU rRNA". It matches the Rfam family "Bacterial small subunit ribosomal RNA", at positions 1 to 917 of the family's 1533-position model. The record is from RNAcentral. Lineage: Bacteria; Bacillati; Bacillota.